RNAcentral lists this ribosomal RNA (403 nucleotides) under Verrucomicrobiota bacterium. Its description in RNAcentral is "Verrucomicrobia bacterium partial 16S ribosomal RNA". It matches the Rfam family "Bacterial small subunit ribosomal RNA", at positions 355 to 776 of the family's 1533-position model. The record is from RNAcentral. Lineage: Bacteria; Pseudomonadati; Verrucomicrobiota.
UGGGGAAUAUUGCACAAUGGGGGAAACCCUGAUGCAGCGACGCCGCGUGAGCGAAGAAGGCCUUCGGGUCGUAAAGCUCUUUUAUAUGGGAAGAUAAUGACGGUACCAUAAGAAAAAGCCCCGGCUAACUACGUGCCAGCAGCCGCGGUAAUACGUAGGGGGCUAGCGUUGUCCGGAAUCACUGGGCGCACAGGGUUCGCAGGCGGCAAUGCAAGUCAGAUGUAAAAGGCAAGGGCUCAACCUUUGUAAGCAUCUGAAACUGUAUGGCUUGAGAAGUGUAGAGGCAAGUGGAAUUUUUAGUGUAGCGGUGAAAUGCGUAGAAAUUAAAAAGAAUACCGGUGGCGAAGGCGGCUUCCUGGGCACAAUAUGACGCUGAGGAACGAAAGCGUGAGGAGCAAACAGG